RNAcentral lists this ribosomal RNA (775 nucleotides) under uncultured Neocallimastigales. RNAcentral describes it as "partial large subunit ribosomal RNA". It matches the Rfam family "Eukaryotic large subunit ribosomal RNA", at positions 23 to 643 of the family's 3401-position model. Lineage: Eukaryota; Fungi; Neocallimastigomycota; Neocallimastigomycetes; Neocallimastigales. The record is from RNAcentral.
AGAGAUGUGUGAUGACGCAUAUCAAUAAGCGGAGGAAAAGAAACUAACAAGGAUUCCCUUAGUAACGGCGAGUGAAGCGGGAAGAGCUCAAAUUUGAAAUCUUCAAGGUUCUACCUUGACGAAUUGUAGUUUAUAGAAGUGUUUUCUGUUAGUAGAGUGGCAAAAGUUCUUUGGAAUAGGACAUCAUAGAGGGUGAGAAUCCCGUAUUUGGUCAUUCUUUCUAGCUUUGUGAUACACUUUCAACGAGUCGGAUUGUUUGGGAAUGCAGUCCAAAAUGGGUGGUAAAUUUCAUCUAAAGCUAAAUAUUGGCGAGAGACCGAUAGCGAACAAGUACCGUGAGGGAAAGAUGAAAAGAACUUUGAAAAGAGAGUUAAACAGUACGUGAAAUUGUCAAAAGGGAAGCGUUUGACACCAGUGUUGUUAUUCCGAAAAUCAAUUAAGAAUGUUUUAGUUUUUAAGAAGUUAUGACUUCAUCGGCCUGCUCCUUUCUUUAUGAAACUUUCUUAAUGCACUUUUCGGUUAACAAGUCAACAUCAAUUUCUUUUGUUGUAAAAGGGUAUGAGGAAGGUGGCUUUCUUUUCGGAGAAAGUGUUUAUAGCCUUGUACCUCUGCAAUCGGAGAGAUUGAGGUCUGCAGCGUAGAUCCUUCGGGGUUAGAUACAUUGUGCUAAGCUAUAGCCUUGUAUAGACAACUUGUUGACUAUGCUCUAGUCAUGUAGCUUACUCGCUUAUGCUAUUUUACCUACGCUUAGGAUGUUGAUAGUCACAGCGUGUAC